Non-coding RNA from Macrolepiota fuliginosa MF-IS2, 73 nucleotides. Lineage: Eukaryota; Fungi; Basidiomycota; Agaricomycetes; Agaricales; Agaricaceae. The record is from the annotation of a GenBank genome assembly.
GUCUCGAUAGCUAAGUGGUUAUAGCAUGAGAUUGCAGAUCUUGGGGUCCGGCGUUCAAAUCGCCAUCGGGACU